CGGGGACGGGGGAGUGGUAGUGGGGGCUGCAGCUGCCGGACCCAGGCACCGACCCUUGACCUCCGGUGGCUCCCCCAUCUCUCAGGCGCGAUGGCUACGGGCGCGGAUGUACGGGACAUUCUAGAACUCGGGGGUCCAGAAGGGGAUGCAGCCUCUGGGACCAUCAGCAAGAAGGACAUUAUCAACCCGGACAAGAAAAAGUCCAAGAAGUCCUCUGAGACACUGACUUUCAAGAGGCCCGAGGGCAUGCACCGGGAAGUCUAUGCCUUGCUCUACUCUGACAAGAAGGAUGCACCCCCACUGCUACCCAGUGACACUGGCCAGGGGUACCGUACAGUGAAGGCCAAGUUGGGCUCCAAGAAGGUGCGGCCUUGGAAGUGGAUGCCAUUCACCAACCCGGCCCGCAAGGACGGAGCAAUGUUCUUCCACUGGCGACGUGCAGCGGAGGAGGGCAAGGACUACCCCUUUGCCAGGUUCAAUAAGAGUUGACCUUUGGACUCCACAGAAGCACUUACAUGUGGGCCCCUCACCUUAACUAUGGGGGCAGGAGUGUGUGUCCCAUGACUGAGGCUCUGGAGCUGGAGACAGUGAAGUUGAUCCUGGAAUAAAUCAGAGGCAGGCUACAGUCCCAAACCCUGCUAGGACCUCUAGUCAAGCAGACAAGUUCUUUCCUCAUUCCAUGCUGCAGGGGCACAGCCCCAGGGUCUGGCAACAAACAGGAGCAGCUGUGGUCACUGGGGCCUGGAGCCUGCUGGACAUGACAUGAUGUGGGCAUGCCCCUACUGUGUUCCUCUGUGCUAGUAGACUGUGCAGGUGCCUGUGUACUCGGAGCAGGAGUACCAGCUUUAUCUCCACGAUGAUGCUUGGACUAAGG
RNAcentral lists this small RNA (874 nucleotides) under Pan troglodytes (chimpanzee). RNAcentral describes it as "processed transcript". The record is from RNAcentral. Lineage: Eukaryota; Metazoa; Chordata; Mammalia; Primates; Hominidae.